CUAGAAAUUGCUAUAGGCUUAGCAUCAACAAUUUCUUCAUUUCCCUGAACUAUAACGCUCAAAGCCUUAGAAUUAUCAUCUUGUUUAGGUGUCUGUGGACUCUUUUUAAGUGCAAGCUUAGCCUUCUGCCUGGACCCCCAUAUUGCUGUCACAUUUAUAUUUCUCCAUUUAUCCUUCAAAUCAACAUUUGACCUUUGUCGCAGAAUGGCACUAAACUCAGGGUCCACAAGUAUUGUACGCCAUUUGCCUGUCCCAUGCUUAAGCACUCCAGCUUUAAGAGCUGCCUCUUCUUCUGCUGUCCACUUUUGCUUAGGAGCACCCAUCAGAGGAGGUUCUACGUCGUCACAGCAAAUAUC
This 356-nucleotide unclassified non-coding RNA is filed under the name Hevea brasiliensis (rubber tree). Lineage: Eukaryota; Viridiplantae; Streptophyta; Magnoliopsida; Malpighiales; Euphorbiaceae. The record is from RNAcentral.